Molecule: ribosomal RNA, 154 nt
Filed under: uncultured bacterium
Lineage: Bacteria
Description: partial 16S ribosomal RNA
Rfam family: Bacterial small subunit ribosomal RNA
Source: RNAcentral
UGAGGAAUAUUGGUCAAUGGGCGAGAGCCUGAACCAGCCAAGUAGCGUGCAGGAUGACGGCCCUAUGGGUUGUAAACUGCUUUUAUGCGGGGAUAAAGUGCGGCACGUGUGCCGUUUUGUAGGUACCGCAUGAAUAAGGACCGGCUAAUUCCUG